RNAcentral lists this ribosomal RNA (468 nucleotides) under uncultured bacterium. Its description in RNAcentral is "partial 16S ribosomal RNA". It matches the Rfam family "Bacterial small subunit ribosomal RNA", at positions 28 to 507 of the family's 1533-position model. The record is from RNAcentral.
GACGAACGCUGGCGGCGUGCUUAACACAUGCAAGUCGAACGGAAAGGCCCUGCUUUUGUGGGGUGCUCGAGUGGCGAGCGGGUGAGUAACACGUGAGUAACCUGCCCUUGACUUUGGGAUAACUUCAGGAAACUGGGGCUAAUACCGGAUAGGAGCUCCUGCUGCAUGGUGGGGGUGGGAAAGUUUCGACGGUUGGGGAUGGACUCGCGGCUUAUCAGCUUGUUGGUGGGGUAGUGGCUUACCAAGGCUUUGACGGGUAGCCGGCCUGAGAGGGUGACCGGCCACAUUGGGACUGAGAUACGGCCCAGACUCCUACGGGAGGCAGCAGUGGGGAAUAUUGCACAAUGGGCGGAAGCCUGAUGCAGCAACGCCGCGUGCGGGAUGACGGCCUUCGGGUUGUAAACCGCUUUCGCCUGUGACGAAGCGUGAGUGACGGUAAUGGGUAAAGAAGCACCGGCUAACUACGUG